Clarias gariepinus (North African catfish) is the source of this 517-nucleotide long non-coding RNA. RefSeq lists it as uncharacterized. Lineage: Eukaryota; Metazoa; Chordata; Actinopteri; Siluriformes; Clariidae. The transcript is spliced from 3 exons. The record is from RefSeq and is a predicted model, not a curated record.
CACACUUCUCCAACACAACUUCACACUUCUGCACUCCAGCAACAAUGAGAUCACUAGUGGCGCUUGUGUUCAUAUGCACAUUUUUACCCAAAGCUGCCUCCAAACCUAAUCGGCUGGUUUGUGAAUUUUGUCUUUUCAAUGACUGUGUGCCAGUGGUCUGUCAUCCAACUGCUGAUUCCUGCAUCACUGCAACAUAUAAAGUAGGCAACAAGAAGGUCACUGCAAGAUCGUGUGCAGAAAAAAAGACAUGUGAAAAUCCUCAAGAUCUGUUUCCAAUAGGAUACCUUCAAGACGCGAAGUGUUGUCAGAAGAACAUGUGUAACAGUGUUUAGAGAUUCACUCCCAGUUUUCGUCUCAUGUUUGGUCCUCUUCUUUUCUCCAUCCUAUUCUACUAAACUCUGAUAAAAAAAUGUCUAAAAAAAUUGAUCUAGUACAAAGGUACAAAAUAAGAAACUAAUGAUUUAAAUUCAUCCCUAUUUCUGCACUGUAAUGUAUUACAUUCUAAUAAAAAAGCAUA